AUAUUCUUUUUCAUAUUCUUUUCCAUUAUCGUUUAUUACAGGAUAUUGAAUAUAGUUCCCUGUGUUAUACAGUAGGACCUUGUUUAUUUUUGCCCUUUAUACCUCCCUGGAGAGUUGUGAUAAUCAAAAGAGAUGUAUGUAACAGGGAAUAGAUUAUUAUCUUAUCACUCACCCUCACACCCUCUCAUGCUUUAUGCCUGGUGAUGUGUCUGAUCUCUCGUGGGUUAGUGCCUUCCCAUUGAAAGAAUAUGGCAUUCACUCAUUCAUGCAUUUUUGUUGUGGAGAUAUUAAUAGUACCUCCAAUAUAAGAUUGUGAUGAGGAUUAAAUACAUUAAUGUGUAUAAGGUUCCUAGAGUGGUUGGCACAUGGUGAAUACUCUAUAAAUGUUUCCAUUGUUAUUAUCAGUCUUUUCUAGUUCAUUCAAGAAAAUUUACUGAGCAUCCACUGUGUUUCCUGGGACUAGAGAGAACAGAGCUUGUUCCUUCCUACCUUGGGGGAGUAAGGCCCAGAAAAGAAUGUUGCUGCCAGUGUAAAGGUGCGGAGCCUGUCAGCAAGCACAGAGCGCUAGGGGAUCUUCCAAUAGGAAGGGACUCCGUGCAGGCCUGGUGUGUGGGGACUGGGGUGGCCUUGUGCUUUGAGAUGGAGCCACGGGGGCUGGCUGGGGCUGGGGGUGGCCGGCAGCGCUUACGGAAGCCCCCAGCCUGGGAGCCAGAGUGCUGCUCUGCCGGUUCUAUUCACGGUCCCAACACGUACCUUGCCCCUCAGCGGCAGCAGGGCUGGGGUGGCUGGAGGAGAGGGAAGGAGGUUGGGAGCAGGCUGGGCUGUGUGAACACACAGACGGUGGGUCAGGAAGGAAGGCCAGGGAACCAGCACUAAGGAGGGAGGCAGAGGGAGAGAGGAUGGAGGGGAAGGUGAGGGCUGCUGGGGGCGGGUGCCUUGGGGGCAGGUGGUGGAAGCCUAGGCCAAACCCCUGUGUUGCCUCCAUCUGAUCAUGAGCCCCUUUGCAUGGAGGGGAAGUCUGACCAUUGGGGCCCAAGAGCACCUGGGCAAUAUCAGAUCACCACCCCUGUGUUGCAGCUGGAGAGACUGAGGCCCAGAGAGGAUGUGUAACUUCCUCACAGACACACAGCCAGUUAGGGGCUUACCCAGAGUCAGAACCCAGACCUCUUGAUUCUUAGUCCAGUGCUCCUCACACGAUACCACGCCGCCUUUUGGGGCCUCGGGGCCUCCUGUUUUAUUAGAAAACCCUAAUCUGAGGGGGGCCACGUUGCUGCCAUUGCUGAUGUGUGUAACCCUGCACUCCGUCCUGUUCUCCCUCCUCCGUCUUCUCCCCUCAGGGGAAAGGGCACAAGCAAGUGCAGAUUCCGUUCAGCUGUUCCACCCUCGGCCCAGGGCUGGUGCAGAGGAGCUGGGCAGCCUCCCUUACCCCACCGACCCACCUUCUUCUCAGAGGCAGGCUGGGCCUGGGGGGCAGGGACCUGUGGUGGGGCUUCUCCCUCAAGCUCUGUGGUGGGUGCCCUCUCAGAUGGCCUGGGUGACCCCACCUCCUGGUACGUGCACUCUUGUGUCAUCCUCCCACCUUGAGUGUGGGCUGAUCUAGAGACUUGAGUCUAAAAAUGGAAUGAGUAAGUCCCCUACAUACUAACCUUCAAGUUGCGCUCUUUCAAAGAUGCGAACAUGCGUUUGCAUGUCCAGUCACGUUUAGUUCACGUGUCUGGCGUACAUUGUCACGUGCGUGCAUCCUCUACAAGAGGCUGUGCUUCUGUGUACCUUACUGUACAGUACUGUAUAGAGUACAGUAGUACAGUAUCUUUACUUCAAGCCCAGGAU
This is a long non-coding RNA of Aethalodelphis obliquidens (Pacific white-sided dolphin), 1830 nucleotides long. RefSeq lists it as uncharacterized. The transcript has 2 exons. Lineage: Eukaryota; Metazoa; Chordata; Mammalia; Artiodactyla; Delphinidae. The record is from RefSeq and is a predicted model, not a curated record.